UACGUAGGGUGCGAGCGUUGUCCGGAAUUAUUGGGCGUAAAGGGCUCGUAGGCGGUUUGUCGCGUCGGGAGUGAAAACACCGGGCUUAACUCGGUGCUUGCUUUCGAUACGGGCAGACUAGAGGCAUGCAGGGGAGAACGGAAUUCCUGGUGUAGCGGUGAAAUGCGCAGAUAUCAGGAGGAACACCGGUGGCGAAGGCGGUGGUCUGGGCCGGCACUGACGCUGAGGAGCGAAAGCGUGGGUAGCAAACAGG
RNAcentral lists this ribosomal RNA (253 nucleotides) under uncultured bacterium. RNAcentral's name for it is "partial 16S ribosomal RNA". It matches the Rfam family "Bacterial small subunit ribosomal RNA", at positions 524 to 776 of the family's 1533-position model. The record is from RNAcentral.